UACAGAGGGUGCGAGCGUUAAUCGGAGUUACUGGGCGUAAAGGGCGCGUAGGCGGUGAUGUGAGUGUGAUGUGAAAGCCCCGGGCUUAACCUGGGAAGUGCAUCGCAAACGACAUGACUGGAGUAGAUGAGAGGGUGGCGGAAUUUCCGGUGUAGCGGUGAAAUGCGUAGAGAUCGGAAGGAACGUCAAUGGCGAAGGCAGCCACCUGGCAUCAUACUGACGCUGAGGCGCGAAAGCGUGGGGAGCGAAC
RNAcentral lists this ribosomal RNA (250 nucleotides) under uncultured bacterium. RNAcentral's name for it is "partial 16S ribosomal RNA". It matches the Rfam family "Bacterial small subunit ribosomal RNA", at positions 524 to 773 of the family's 1533-position model. The record is from RNAcentral.